RNAcentral lists this ribosomal RNA (402 nucleotides) under uncultured bacterium. RNAcentral describes it as "partial 16S ribosomal RNA". It matches the Rfam family "Bacterial small subunit ribosomal RNA", at positions 355 to 774 of the family's 1533-position model. The record is from RNAcentral.
UGAGGAAUUUUCCACAAUGGGCGAAAGCCUGAUGGAGCGACGCCGCGUGAAGGAUGAAGCUUUUCGGAGUGUAAACUUCUUUUAUAUGGGAAGAUUAUGACGGUACCAUAUGAAUAAGGACCGGCUAACUACGUGCCAGCAGCCGCGGUAAUACGUAGGGUCCGAGCGUUAUCCGGAAUUACUGGGCGUAAAGAGUUCGUAGGCGGAUUUUUAAGUCGGGUGUUAAAUAUGCAGGCUCAACUUGUAUGCUGCAUCCGAUACUGGGAGUCUUGAGAGUGGAAGAGGUAAGCGGAAUUUCCGGUGGAGCGGUAAAAUGCGUAGAUAUCGGAAAGAACACCAAUGGCGAAGGCAGCUUACUGGGCCAUUUCUGACGCUGAGGAACGAAAGCGUGGGGAGCGAUCG